This 379-nucleotide ribosomal RNA is filed under the name uncultured eukaryote. RNAcentral's name for it is "partial 18S ribosomal RNA". It matches the Rfam family "Eukaryotic small subunit ribosomal RNA", at positions 592 to 976 of the family's 1831-position model. The record is from RNAcentral.
CAAUAGCGUAUAUUUAAGUUGUUGCAGUUAAAAAGCUCGUAGUUGGAUUUCGGAUGGGACUUGCCGGUCCGUCGUUUCGAUGUGCACUGGCCAGUCCUAUCUUGUUGUCGGGGACUAGCUCCUGGGCUUCACUGUCCGGGACUAGGAGCUGACGAGGUUACUUUGAGUAAAUUAGAGUGUUCAAAGCAAGCCUACGCUCUGAAUACAUUAGCAUGGAAUAACACGAUAGGACUCUGGCUUAUCUUGUUGGUCUGUGAGACCAGAGUAAUGAUUAAGAGGGACAGUCGGGGGCAUUCGUAUCUCAUUGUCAGAGGUGAAAUUCUUGGAUUUAUGAAAGACGAACUUCUGCGAAAGCAUUUGUCAAGGAUGUUUUCAUUAA